This is a non-coding RNA of Acanthosepion pharaonis, 108 nucleotides long. NCBI's taxonomy places the organism in Eukaryota, Metazoa, Mollusca, Cephalopoda, Sepiida, Sepiidae. The record is from the annotation of a GenBank genome assembly.
GAUCACAUCACGUUGAAACACCUGUUCCCGAACGAUAACCAAAGUUAAGCAACGUCGAGCCUGGUUAGUACUUAGAUGGGUGGCCGUUUGGGAAUACCAGCUUCUGUA